GGAGUCUGGUCCGUGUCUCAGUACCAGUGUGGGGGACCUUCCUCUCAGAACCCCUAAGGAUCGUCGGCUCGGUGGGCCGUUACCCCGCCAACAAGCUAAUCAGACGCAUCCCCAUCCUUAACCGACAAAUUCUUUGGUCCGGGUCAGAUGCCCUCGCUGGACCACAUCGGGCAUUAAUCCGGUUUUCACCGGGCUAUUCCCAAGUUAAGGGAAGGUUGGAUACGCGUUACUCACCCGUGCGCCGGUCGCCAUCAAAGGAAGCAAGCUUCCUUCAUGCUGCCCCUCGACUUGCAUGUGUUAAGCCUGUAGCUAGCGUUCAUC
RNAcentral lists this ribosomal RNA (321 nucleotides) under uncultured Prevotella sp. RNAcentral's name for it is "partial 16S ribosomal RNA". The record is from RNAcentral. Lineage: Bacteria; Pseudomonadati; Bacteroidota; Bacteroidia; Bacteroidales; Prevotellaceae.